CAGUGGGUGCAUUAUGUAAAAUUGUGUAAAUUUUUACAUUCCAGUUUUUCCUCUCAAUUGGAGAAUCCUCUAAUUUUUCCCUAAUUUAUUUCCCUUAGUGUAUAGGAAUGGACAUAACUGAAUUGGUUGACUUUGUUGGGACAGUUGGUUUCGGUAAACCUAGGGAAGCUUCAUAAGUAAUGGUUUGUUUUGAUAUACGAAGUGGACAAACACAAGACAGCUCUUGGAAUGUAAAGGAUUUUUCAUAAUUAGCACUUCAAUUACAAAAACAAAAAGGGGGAGUCAAGGAAUCUCCUCAUUGACAUUUGGCGAUGGUAUCCUCAGCAAGACACCGCUUGAGAAGAGAAUGCCGUGCCAAAAACAGAGAAAGAAGAAGCAGGCGGUGCUGGAAGACCAAGGAGAAGAUGCAGCACAAAAAGGCAGCAAGACAUCAUGACUGUUUUUCAACAUGU
Molecule: non-coding RNA, 452 nt
Organism: Microcebus murinus (gray mouse lemur)
Lineage: Eukaryota; Metazoa; Chordata; Mammalia; Primates; Cheirogaleidae
Source: RefSeq, a predicted model, not a curated record